UACGGGGGGGGCAAGCGUUGUUCGGAAUUACUGGGCGUAAAGGGCUCGUAGGUGGCCAACUAAGUCAGACGUGAAAUCCCUCGGCUUAACCGGGGAACUGCGUCUGAUACUGGAUGGCUAGAGUUUGGGAGAGGGAUGCUGAAUUCCAGGUGUAGCGGUGAAAUGCGUAGAUAUCAGGAGGAACACCUGCGGUGUAGACGGCUUACUGGACCAUCACUGACGCUGAGGCACGAAAGCGUGGGUGGCAAACAGG
This 253-nucleotide ribosomal RNA is filed under the name uncultured bacterium. RNAcentral's name for it is "partial 16S ribosomal RNA". It matches the Rfam family "Bacterial small subunit ribosomal RNA", at positions 524 to 776 of the family's 1533-position model. The record is from RNAcentral.